RNAcentral lists this ribosomal RNA (672 nucleotides) under uncultured bacterium. Its description in RNAcentral is "bacterial SSU rRNA". It matches the Rfam family "Bacterial small subunit ribosomal RNA", at positions 74 to 749 of the family's 1533-position model. The record is from RNAcentral.
UUGCUUCUUUGCUGACGACCGGCGCACGGGUGCGUAACGCGGAUACGAUCUGCCUUGUACUGGGGGAUAGCCUUGAGAAAUGAAGAUUAACACCCCAUAGUAUAUGACUGUGGCAUCGCAGACAUAUUAGAGGUUACGGUACAAGAUGAGUAUGCGUCCUAUUAGCUAGAUGGUGUGGUAACGGCACACCAUGGCGACGAUAGGUAGGGGCCCUGAGAGGGGGAUCCCCCACACUGGUACUGAGACACGGACCAGACUCCUACGGGAGGCAGCAGUGAGGAAUAUUGGACAAUGGAGGCAACUCUGAUCCAGCCAUGCCGCGUGCAGGAAGACUGCCCUAUGGGUUGUAAACUGCUUUUAUACGGGAAGAAACACCCCCACGUGUGGGGGCUUGACGGUACCGUAAGAAUAAGCACCGGCUAACUCCGUGCCAGCAGCCGCGGUAAUACGGAGGGUGCAAGCGUUAUCCGGAAUCAUUGGGUUUAAAGGGUCCGUAGGCGGACAAUUAAGUCAGAGGUGAAAGUCUGCAGCUCAACUGUAGAAUUGCCUUUGAUACUGGUUGUCUUGAAUUAUUGUGAAGUGGUUAGAAUAAGUAGUGUAGCGGUGAAAUGCAUAGAUAUUACUUAGAAUACCAAUUGCGAAAGCAGAUCACUAACAAUAUAUUGACGCUGA